ACACAAUUCGAUGAGUGGAAAAAAAUGUGUACUAACUCAGACUUCGAACUUCUCUGGGGAAGAGGAAGAGGACGACGGUGGGAGGGUCUUUGGUGGCGGUGAGAUGAGGCGGAGGCGGCUGGGGGGUGAGAUGGGUGGGGCGGAUCGGGUUUGCCGAGGAGGGCUGCCGGUGGGCGACGCGGCUCGUGGGAACGCGGGGAUCGAUCAGGUGAUGCUCCGAUUCCGACCUAUAGCUCCGAAGCCGGCCACGGAGGGCCCGGGCCAAGGCGGGUCGCACGCGGGAAGCAAGGGGUGGCCACUUUCGGGUGCGAGAACCAAGAGGAAGUACGUUAGGGUUCGCAAGCCCAAGGGCAAUAGUAACUGUAGCAGUAAUAAUAACAACAGCAGCACCAGCAGCAGCACCAGCACCAAAAGCAAAAGAGCAGUAGCGCAAGGGCCAAAAGGAAAAGCAGGAGGGCCUGACGGCUCGUUGGGUUUGGAGAAGCAAAUAGUGACCCUCCAAUUGUUGCCUGAGAAAGCUGAUCAUGGAGAAUCUAAAGCGCUUAAAGCAAAGCCUCAGCCUCCCGAGCAGGAGCCUCGAUGGUGCACCACCAAUAGCUGCUGCGGUGCUCCCUUUGGUCCUGAUUUCAGCACCGUGAAUCUCGCCCUACCUAACCGGGUCCCACCCAUGUGGCCGCGCUCGGACCCCAUUCAUCGGAUUCGUUACCCUAGGGUGCUGGAGUGCUGGGUGUUCGUGGAGUCCGUGGCCGACGCGCGCAUUGACGCGCAGGACCCUCAGCUGGUAGGGCUCACCGACGCCGAGCGGAUGAGGAAUCUCGAGACCGACGCGUGCCCCGGGUUCCUGGCGGAUCCGAGCGACAGAGUGAAGUGGGUCAACGGAGCGUUCGAGAGGAUGGUGAUCAGGGAGCACUUGAGCGGCGGCACCGACAGCGGCCCGCCGCCGGCCGGGAUCGCGGUGAGGGUGGUGGCGAGGGAGGAGCUGCCCAAGACGCGGGCGGCAUUCGCGUGCAGGGCGACGGUGCGGCAGCGCGAGGAGAAGUGGGCCGCGAGGAUAAUGCCGUGCGACGUGUGGAGGAUGGACGAGGUGGGGGGGUUUGCAUGGAGGCUGGACGUUGAAGCUGCACUCAGCUUGGGUCUCCGCUGACACAACCCAAGAAUUUCGGGUGGGGGCACCGAUCAGUGUUUGAUGCGCUCUCAAUUAUUUUGCUGCUCGGUGGACGGAUCUCUUGCGAUUUCAGCGAAUACUGCCUUCCCCUCCUCCAUCAUCUCUCUGCUCUCUCUCUCUCUCUCUCUCUCUCUCUUUUUGUCAUUCUUUAUAAUCCUUAUCUUGUGCAGGUAUUUCCCACCUCUUAGAGAUUGAAGCUGAAAAAGAUCGGUUGAACACGGAACAAUGUAGAGUCUGAAGCUUGGAGACUGGAGGGAACUCGGUCUAAAGCUUAUAGCCUGAAAAACAAUUCUGUGGGUUUAUGUACCUACGGGGAAGAUGUAAAUGGUGGCAAAAUGUAUCUAUUUGGUUGAGUCUCGUAUGUGGUAAGAUAUAUUCUGGGUAUCUGGAAAGAUCAGAUGUUUCUGAUGAAACCGACGUGUGAUUGUAGCCAUGGCAACAAACUAAUCUUGCCAAAUGCCAUCUCUAUAAAUUGUAAUGUGUGCUUUGUGGGAAGUGAAAAGGCAGGAGUUGUUUGUGCUAACUAAAAUUUGCGUUUGGCAAUUGCACUUCUAUGGUGUAGAAGGUGGUUUUGUGGAA
Rhodamnia argentea is the source of this 1744-nucleotide RNA transcript. RefSeq lists it as uncharacterized. The transcript has 3 exons. NCBI's taxonomy places the organism in Eukaryota, Viridiplantae, Streptophyta, Magnoliopsida, Myrtales, Myrtaceae. The record is from RefSeq and is a predicted model, not a curated record.